GUGCUCACUUUGGCAGCACAUAUGCUAAAAUUGGAAUGAUACAGAGAAGGUUAGCAUGGCCCUACCACAAGCAUGACACACAAAUUCAUAAAGCAUUCCAUAUUUUA
Myotis daubentonii (Daubenton's bat) is the source of this 107-nucleotide small nuclear RNA. The record is from RefSeq and is a predicted model, not a curated record. NCBI's taxonomy places the organism in Eukaryota, Metazoa, Chordata, Mammalia, Chiroptera, Vespertilionidae.